GUCUACGGCCAUGCUACCCUGAAUGUGCCCAGUCUUGUCUGAUCUCGGAAGCUAAGUAGGGUCGGGCCUGGUUAGUACUUGGAUGGGAGACCACCUUGGAAGACCAGGAGCUGUAGGCA
Molecule: ribosomal RNA, 119 nt
Filed under: Pteropus alecto (black flying fox)
Lineage: Eukaryota; Metazoa; Chordata; Mammalia; Chiroptera; Pteropodidae
Source: RNAcentral